CACGAAUGAAAAACACUAUUUCUAAAUGUUAUUAUUCUAAGGAUAGUUUGUUCAAUGACCUGACUUUUCUUUUUUUUUUUUUUUAGUACCAAGAAUUGAACUAAUGACUUUGCACUUGCCAGGAAGGCGCUGUGCCACUGAGUGAUGUCCCUGGUAUAAUCUGGUAUUUUAUAUUCUCCAAAGAAGAGAAGCCAUGUAAAAUAAGUACAAUAUCAGCACCUUCCAGAGCUUCAGCAAGAGGAAAGACCGUGAUCAGUCAGGGACCACAAAGCAAUGAGGCGCACUCUGAAUGCUAAAACACGACUAUUAAGAGCUGAAUUACAGCUGCUAUUGCUGUUUUGCAAUAUUUAUUAAUUUAAUUAAAUCUUUAUAUGCAUCAAUACUUUAACCUCUCAAGAUUUUUUCUCAGCACACAUUUUUAUUGUUAUAUCCCAUGAACUCUACUUUGAAAUAAAACCUUUAAUUAAAAGAGACUUGCUUUCUCAUACUGCUCAAUAUAUAAUAGUCAUCCCUAAAAUGUAGUUCUCAUAUUUUCCAUUUUUAUGCAUAUAUUAAUUUUUAUUAAUGUAAUUAAGGCUGUAUCUAAUAAGUAAGAUGUCUUAUGAAAGAUGAAACUAUUGAAGUCACC
This 628-nucleotide long non-coding RNA is filed under the name Chinchilla lanigera (long-tailed chinchilla). RNAcentral describes it as "lncRNA (ENSCLAG00000025473.1)". The record is from RNAcentral. Lineage: Eukaryota; Metazoa; Chordata; Mammalia; Rodentia; Chinchillidae.